This 567-nucleotide long non-coding RNA is filed under the name Lonchura striata (white-rumped munia). RNAcentral describes it as "domestica (Bengalese finch) lncRNA (ENSLSDG00000011133.1)". The record is from RNAcentral. Lineage: Eukaryota; Metazoa; Chordata; Aves; Passeriformes; Estrildidae.
AUGUACUUUUCACUCAUUCAUACUUUAACCCUUUGGUUUCUCCUUUCAGUAUGCAAGAAAUUCCUGCAGGCUCAUCCUGAGGAGCAGAAGCGACUGUGGGAAGUGGAAGCACCAGGAGAUUGGGGCCAGCGAGUGAAUGUCUGGUUGAAAAUUCAGAUGGAGUCAUCUCCUACAGGAAAGGCAGAAGUGGUCUCUUGUAUGGAGAAGACUCCAACUACCAAACCCAGACAAUUGGACCAGAUGAAUAAGGGUGUUGACUGCUUUCCUGGAGUUGGGCAAGUGGCAGGAGAUGCCAUGGAGAAAAAGGAUGACACAACAGCAGCAGGGACUCUAAACUCACAAGGUCCUGAAGAGGAGGACUUGGAACAAAGUGCAGGCAAUGCUCAGCAGCAUAAAGGACUCAGGAAAAGAGAAGGUCCUGGGGACUUAGUUGGAGACAAGGCCACCAAACAAUUUAAAACUACACCAUGAUUACUAUUUCAGAAAUCAGAAAAAUUCAGUAUGAUCUUAAAAAUUGUAAUUGACUGUUCUUAAUUUGGAACAGUGAAUAAAUUUCUCCAGGUAUGA